This is an RNA transcript of Melopsittacus undulatus (budgerigar), 3353 nucleotides long. It is a transcript of the gene named centrosome-associated protein CEP250-like, with no coding region annotated. The transcript has 6 exons. Lineage: Eukaryota; Metazoa; Chordata; Aves; Psittaciformes; Psittaculidae. The record is from RefSeq and is a predicted model, not a curated record.
CCUCCUCCUGUGUUCUAGAAGCAAUCUGCUUCCAAUUCUAAGAGUUCAGCGGUGUUACGGGCAAAGAAAUUGCCUGCCCUACCUCGUGUAUGCCUGUUUGGCCCUUCAGCAUCCCUGUGUCACAGCUUUUCAUGCUCUACCAUGAAUGCUAAGGCAGGACCAGGAGAUUCAGCGUGCUGUUGGAAUAUAAGAGGCCUCCCUCUCGACAUGCCAAUUCUCUGAGUUCUUGUUCUUUACACACCCUUUGCUAGCCACUGCUUCUCAGUGAAUGAAGGCAAAAGCCUGCCUUCCUUCCAUCUUCCCUCUUCAGUUACCUUGUGAGGGGAAGAGGAAGUUCUUCCUUACUGUGCUGCCCACAGCUCUAUCCUGGCAUGAUGAAAAUGGGAUCUGUGACUGUUCAGGCCUCUUCAUCCUUCUGACUAAGCCUUGUCUCUGCAGUGACUGUGUCAAACUUAGGAAAAUCAAGGAAGACUUACAGCAAAACCUUCUAAUAACAGAACAGGCUCAGCUGCUAAUGCCUCAGUUAGCUUGAAACUUUGCUUUUACUUAGCCAGUCGAGCUGGUUUCUUUCUAGCCUUGCCAUUCUUGUUCACUGCCUUGCCAGUCUCACCAUCUCUGUGCUCUGCUGCUUUCUCUCUUUCUCUGCUAACUAAGCCUUGUCUCUGCUGUGACUGUGCCAAGCUUAGGAAAGUCAAGGAGGACCUACAGCAAAAUCUAAGAAAGAAUCAAGAAGCCUAGCAUCUUCCUCAGCAUAAGAUUGAACUGCAGCUGAAGGAAAAGGUGGAGCAGCAACAGGCACUGGAGAGAGCGCAUUGUAACCAUGGGCUCCUGCUGAAGGACUUUGCUGCACUUGAAGAAAAACAUUCAUUACUACAGAGAGAGUUGUUAAUUGUGAAGGAGGCACUGGAGAAAUCACUCCUUCAGAGGAAUCAGCUGAUGCAGGACAAGAAUGAGCUUAUUGUGGCACUGAAGAAGGUAGAGUCACCUUAUGGGAGAAGGAGAUAUGACAGCCAGAUCAUCACAGGUGCUGUUUCUGGCAGUUGAAGGCAGGGAAAAUGUUCUUCUCCUUGGAAAAUGGUGGUCAGAGCACACAGGCUCUUUGGGUAGUUGGUCCCCACGUUGUGACUGGGAGAGCUGAACUGGCAGCAUGUCAGAGACACCCAGGGGAUGCGGAGCUGCUCCUUGAAGGGGAGGAUUUUCCUGUCCCAGCCAAACGUCCUACAGAGGAUACAAGUCCCAGAGCUCUCUGGGUGGGCAUUUGGCUGCUUGGCUCAGUGAAGCUGCAUCUGUUGGAUUCUGCUGUGGUUUUGUCAAGGAGAUGCUUGGUAGUGCUGGAGGUCACAAGGCUUUGGUUACUUCUUCUUGGAAAUGUGUUGGUGGCUUGCAGAGCUGUUGUGCACUUCUCUCAGUUGUCCUCUGCUUCUAUGGAUUCUUUUAACCUGCCUGUCUGCAUUGACCUCUGUUUUGGAUUUUGAUUAGCUGCAAAGAGGUGAUUGUGUUGUCCAUGAAUCUGAGUGGGGCUGCUACUCUCCCGUGUGGCAAAAGAAACAAACCCUGUAGCUCUGAAUUCCCACAAGAGCCGACACCCCUCUGAAGGCCCACAAGGGCUGUUUCCUUGCCAAGUUGUUUCCCUCCUUGCAUCCAACUGCUUUACACACUGAAGUAGUGUUAGAUGGCAGUGAGAGCAGAAUCAGCAUUGCCUCCACUGCCAGUACUGAGUGUCCUGAGUCUAGCUUCACCCUGUCUUCUAUGAGCUCCACUGAGGUAGAGUGUGCCUUUAAAGUAUGCAAGGAACAACCAGCCAAGAGGCAAGAGGUAACACAGCAUGAACAGGACAGGCUGCAAGCAAUGAAGGCAAAAGCUUUGCAGGAGACUCUCACUUACAUGACCAGCAUCCCAUCAGAGAGGGUGAGAGAAACAGGAACAGACGAGAAUUCCAGAAAAGUGGAAAGAAAUGCAUGAAACUGCUCUCAACCAGGUUAUUAAUGACAUAACAGAUCAAAACCCGGAGUCACUACAAAAGUAAAACCAGGAAGCUGGAGACGCCACAGAAAUGCUGUUAAGGGCUGUUCGUGAGCAUGUGGAACAGACCUUAGAAAACUUAAAAGGAAAGGACAGACUCCUAGCCAUCCAAAGGCAACAAACAAGGAGCUAUGAGGAGAAAACAGAAGAACAGCUGAAUGUCUUGCACAAAGACUUAAAAUAUGCUAAGGCAGUACUGAAAGAAAAGGAUAUUGUGAUCAAAUCUCAGAAGGAAGUGAUUGAGACCUUCCAAAACCAAGAACAAGACUCUGAACAGCAGAAGAAAAUUCUCCAACAACUUGUGACACUAAAGGAAAAAGAUCAAGAAAUUGUACCCCUUAGGAAGCAAUGCGAGGCAUGCAGGGAAAAGGAGGAAAAGCAUGGAGCUGAGCAAAAAAACCUGCAAGCAACAAAACGGACUCUGAAAGAGAGAGAAAAGAAGCAGGCUACUGCAGAAGGAGUGCAGCAAUCGUGGCUCUUGGAGAAGAAGCUCCUGUCGCAGCAGCUGGAAAACUUGCAGCAAGAAGUUGCAAGGCUGAAACUUACCAACACUGAGCUGAAGAAAUUCAGUGCUGAACUCAAGAAGACUCUUGAGGAGGUGAAACAGGGUUUCACUGCCCAUGCUAAGCCUCACAGUCUUCUGGAGCACCACACGUCUCCACAGACAGCAGUUUGGGGUCCUUGGCUUGUUCCCUCUCCCACUCUCCCCUUGGACACACCCUUUUGUGUUUUCCUUCUCUUCUGGCACCUUAUUUGCCUUCACAAAUGCACAUUCACUCCAGUACCACCCUUCCUGCCCCGGUGUCCCCAUACACACACAUUGGACUCUCAUGUGUCAGGAAGUGUUUCCUCUUGCUCUUUCUUGUCCAUAGUCUACACUGAGUGCUUUUUUGCUGCCAACAUUUUCGCCCAAGAGGCCCUUUUGCUCCUUGUUUGGUGGCAGGUUUCUGUGAACCUUUCUCCUAUCCAACGUGCAGGUGGAAUGUCAAUGGAGGAAACUGAUGAGGCUCCACUGUGAUCAGUCGCUGCCAGGUGCAAAUGGAUCUUCCUUCUCCAAGCCUCACCGGCACAAGAUGCCUGCUUCUAGACAGGAGGAGUCCUAUGAACACUGCAGGCAUCAAUGACCUGACUAUUACUGCAGAAAGCUCUCACUUCUUGAGCAGCUGCAGCACUCCGUGGUUCCUGUCCUGUACCCUUCCCAGAACCAUCCUCUUUUACUGCUGUGGGACAGAGGGGUGGGUUUGUUCUCUUGACAUUUAGAAGUAGUUUACAUAUGGGCAGGGACUCCUAACUUUCCUGUUUUGUUUCUUAAUAAAAGACAUUCUGCAAUC